This is a transfer RNA of Monosiga brevicollis MX1, 67 nucleotides long. It matches the Rfam family "tRNA", at positions 8 to 63 of the family's 71-position model. From Rfam's summary of the family: Transfer RNA (tRNA) molecules are approximately 80 nucleotides in length. The record is from Rfam. NCBI's taxonomy places the organism in Eukaryota, Choanoflagellata, Craspedida, Salpingoecidae.
UGGCCGAGUGGUUAAGGCGUUUGGCUGCUAACCAAAUGGACUCUGUCCGCGUAGGUUCGAAUACUAC